GCGGGGAUGCCGGAGUGGUCAAACGGGACAGGUUUAGGACCUGUUAGCUUAGUGCUUACCUAGGUUCGAAUCCUAGUCUCCGCA
Molecule: transfer RNA, 84 nt
Filed under: Candidatus Pacearchaeota archaeon
Lineage: Archaea; Nanobdellati
Description: tRNA-Leu
Rfam family: tRNA
About the family: Transfer RNA (tRNA) molecules are approximately 80 nucleotides in length. Their secondary structure includes four short double-helical elements and three loops (D, anti-codon, and T loops). Further hydrogen bonds mediate the characteristic L-shaped molecular structure. tRNAs have two regions of fundamental functional importance: the anti-codon, which is responsible for specific mRNA codon recognition, and the 3' end, to which the tRNAs corresponding amino acid is attached (by aminoacyl-tRNA synthetases). tRNAs cope with the degeneracy of the genetic code in two manners: having more than one tRNA (with a specific anti-codon) for a particular amino acid; and 'wobble' base-pairing, i.e. permitting non-standard base-pairing at the 3rd anti-codon position.
Source: RNAcentral